GACGAACGCUGGCGGCGUGCUUAACACAUGCAAGUCGAACGGAAAGGCCCCUUUGGGGGUACUCGAGUGGCGAACGGGUGAGUAACACGUGAGUAACCUGCCCUUGACUUCGGGAUAACUUCAGGAAACUGGGGCUAAUACCGGAUAGGAAUCCUUGCUGCAUGGUGGGGGUUGGAAAGCUUCGGCGGGUUUGGAUGGACUCGCGGCUUAUAGGCUUGUUGGUGGGGUAGUGGCUUACCAAGGCUUUGACGGGUAGCCGGCCUGAGAGGGCGAGCGGCCACAUUGGGUCUGAGGGGCGGCACAGACUCGUAAGGGAGGAAGCAGUGGGGAAUACUGCACAAUGGGCGGAGGCCUGAUGAAGCAAGGCCGCGUGCGGGAUGACGGCCUUGGGGUUGUAAAACGCUUUCAGCAGGGGCGAAGCUUGUGGUGACGGUACCUGAAGAAGAAGCACCGGCUAACUACGUG
Molecule: ribosomal RNA, 465 nt
Filed under: uncultured bacterium
Lineage: Bacteria
Description: partial 16S ribosomal RNA
Rfam family: Bacterial small subunit ribosomal RNA
Source: RNAcentral